AUGCAUUUCAGUUCCUCGACCCCCUCAGUGAAAGCGUCAUCAGUGAAAGGUUGUCCGUUUCUAUCUCCUUACCAAGUUGAGCCUCUCUUUCUGCUCUGGUAUAUAGUGACUUUGUACUACGUUUUGUGUGAAGUGUGUGAUUCAUUGACUUUAAGAAUAGUGUGCCAUUUGGGACCCGGAAAUAAAAACAGAAGAUCAAUAUUUCAGAACAAAAUAUGCAUCUCUAAAACGUGUUUAUUUUAUUUUGCAUGCUAUUAUUUGGUCCAUUAUCAUCACAGGCUUUAAGUUGGGGGUUUUCUUGAUCCAAUACCGUUGUGAUUGUGUAUGUUUUUUGGGGGGAGGUUUUCUAUUCUCUUUUAAAGGGUGUGUAUGUGAUUUGAAAAGAUUGAAACAUGUAAUAGCAGAUUCCCUCAGAGCGGUUUCACAACACUCUGGGGGUCUGUUUAGAGCUUCGUGUAUUAGGGCUUGAUUCAAUCCAUUGCUGAAGUUCAGCGUUAAAACACGAUUUGACAUUUUAAAAGCAAUCGUUUCGCUGAGACUGCAUUCGUGGUAAACGCUGCGUAAGUCGGCUCAAUGGGAGGAGCUUCGGCGGUACGGAUUGAAUUGAGUCCUUUUAGUUAUUCAUAUGUAUCAGAUCUACUUUCUAGAUGUGUAUCUACGCCACGGUGCACAGCUGUGCUGAGGCUGAGAGCCUUCUCUCUCCACUUCAGAUUCAUCCGCCACACACCUGCUCAGUCGUACUGCUUCUGUACCUGUCGCUCCAGUUGAAACACUAACAGACAUGUAUUCAUUAUGACGAUAUACAGGCGGUGCAUCUGAGACCUUGAUCUCAGUUCCACUGGAUAACAGGGGUCCCACCUAGCUUGGUUGCCAGGUCCACUAUGUGCUUUAGUAAAAUAAUGCCAUGAUGUUGAUAGUCUGAAGUUUUGCUUAAGCCUGUACAGAUCUGGCAACUAGUCGAGACCAGACAGUGGAGUCGGACCCUUAAACCCUCCAUAUAACUCUGUUGUAGAGGAGUGUGUUUGAUCAUCGGAGUUAAACUUAAUCAGGGAGGCAGUUUCCACUCUUGACUCUUUUAGGAGGAAGGAGUUCUUCUCCCUUUCUGUCCUUCUCUUGGGUUUGGGUCCUUGAUAGCCUGGUGCCGGAUGUGUUUGUGCUGUCUUGCCCAACUCAUUGUCAGACUGUGACCGUCAGAGUUGGCUCGACGGCACAAAAGAGAUCUGAGACCAGGCUAGGAGGUCCUUAAUGAAUGCUCUGUGUUGAGACGAUAUAGAUGUCUUCUCAAUCUUCAGACCCAGAAUUACAAGGCCUUUGGUCUCAACAGAAAAAAAACAUCAAAGGAAAACAGAUUUUAUUUUUUAUUAAUUUAUUUCUUUUUGUUUCUUUGGGGAAGUGCAUAUUGUUUGUUGAAGCACACGUCCAGUGGUGACCGUGGGAUUUGCAAUAGGUCUUUAUAUCUGCUGUAAUCGUUCUAAUAAAAAGGAUUCUGGGAAAGUUUGUAUUUAUUUGGCUCUAAUACUUCAUGUUGAUUCGAGGUGCGUUUCAAAAUGUCAUUCAUUGUGGGAUUUUAUCAGACAUAACUCUUUUAUUGUGCAGUUUUCUGUAAUGGCAUGAGUUUUCCUGCCCAGUUUGUAGUCCUACAUGAUUUUUCAUUAGACUGUUGCCAUCUAGUGGUGAAAGGAGGUAGAAAAAUGUGUGUACAUUCUGAGGCCUGCAUCUAAUACUGUUGGUCUUUCCACAAUACCUCUCGAUCUCCUGGCAGCCGCCUCAACAGCACUGGAAAAGGUCAACACUCCAUCCCAUUUGACAAAAAGCCUGUACAUUACUGUUCCAUGGCAUGCAAGU
Long non-coding RNA from Oncorhynchus kisutch (coho salmon), 1845 nucleotides. NCBI's taxonomy places the organism in Eukaryota, Metazoa, Chordata, Actinopteri, Salmoniformes, Salmonidae. The record is from Ensembl.